AAAGACCGGUUUCCGUAUGAUUACCGAAGUUAAACAACGUCAAGCCUGAUCAGUACCAAGAUGGGUGACCGCUUGGGAAUACCAGUUGCUGUAAG
Molecule: non-coding RNA, 95 nt
Organism: Acanthosepion pharaonis
Lineage: Eukaryota; Metazoa; Mollusca; Cephalopoda; Sepiida; Sepiidae
Source: the annotation of a GenBank genome assembly